AGAGUUUUGAUCCUGGCUCAGGAUGAACACNAGAGGGAUGCUUACCAUGCAGUCGACGGAAUCUUCGGAUUUAGUGGCGGACGGGUGAGUAACGCGUGAGAAUCUAGCUCUAGGUCGGGGACAACCACUGGAAACGGUGGCUAAUACCGGAUGUGCCGAAAGGUGAAAGAUUAAUUGCCUAGAGAUGAGCUCGCGUCUGAUUAGCUAGUUGGUGUGGUAAGAGCGCACCAAGGCGACGAUCAGUAGCNGGNCNGAGAGGANGANCAGCCACACNGGGACUGAGACACGGCCCAGACNCCNACGGGAGGCAGCAGUGGGGAAUUUUCCGCAAUGGCGAAAGCCUGACGGAGCAAUACCGCGUGAGGGAGGAGGCUCUUGGGUUGUAAACCUCUUUUCUCAGGGAAUAAGAAAGUGAAGGUACCUGAGGAAUAAGCAUCGGCUAACUCCGUGCCAGCAGCCGCGGUAAUACGGAGGAUGCAAGCGUUAUCCGGAAUGAUUGGGCGUAAAGCGUCCGCAGGUGGCACUGUAAGUCUGCUGUUAAAGAGCAAGGCUCAACCUUGUAAAGGCAGUGGAAACUACAGAGCUAGAGUACGUUCGGGGCAGAGGGAAUUCCUGGUGUAGCGGUGAAAUGCGUAGAGAUCAGGAAGAACACCGGUGGCGAAAGCGCUCUGCUAGGCCGUAACUGACACUGAGGACGAAAGCUAGGGGAGCGAAUGGGAUUAGAUACCCCAGUAGUCCUAGCCGUAAACGAUGGAUACUAGGCGUGGCUUGUAUCGACCCGAGCCGUGCCGGAGCCAACGCGUUAAGUAUCCCGCCUGGGGAGUACGCACGCAAGUGUGAAACUCAAAGGAAUUGACGGGGGCCCGCACAAGCGGUGGAGUAUGUGGUUUAAUUCGAUGCAACGCGAAGAACCUUACCAAGACUUGACAUGUCGCGAAUCUUCUUGAAAGGGAAGAGUGCCUUAGGGAGCGCGAACACAGGUGGUGCAUGGCUGUCGUCAGCUCGUGUCGUGAGAUGUUGGGUUAAGUCCCGCAACGAGCGCAACCCUCGUUUUUAGUUGCCAGCAUUAAGUUGGGCACUCUAGAGAGACUGCCGGUGACAAACCGGAGGAAGGUGGGGAUGACGUCAAGUCAGCAUGCCCCUUACGUCUUGGGCUACACACGUACUACAAUGCUACGGACAGAGGGCAGCAAGCUAGCGAUAGCAAGCAAAUCCCGUAAACCGUAGCUCAGUUCAGAUCGCAGGCUGCAACUCGCCUGCGUGAAGGAGGAAUCGCUAGUAAUUGCAGGUCAGCAUACUGCAGUGAAUUCGUUCCCGGGCCUUGUACACACCGCCCGUCACACCAUGGAAGCUGGCAACGCCCGAAGUCAUUACUCCAACCAUUCGUGGGGGAGGAUGCCUAAGGCAGUGC
This 1411-nucleotide ribosomal RNA is filed under the name Nostoc sp. SN440. RNAcentral describes it as "bacterial SSU rRNA". It matches the Rfam family "Bacterial small subunit ribosomal RNA". The record is from RNAcentral. Lineage: Bacteria; Bacillati; Cyanobacteriota; Cyanophyceae; Nostocales; Nostocaceae.